This 324-nucleotide long non-coding RNA is filed under the name Gallus gallus (chicken). The record is from RNAcentral. Lineage: Eukaryota; Metazoa; Chordata; Aves; Galliformes; Phasianidae.
GGAAGAUGUCCCAUUGCACCCUCCCAAAUCAGUCUGUGAAAAUGGACACAACAGAAACGUGGUGAGAAGGUGGCAGUGAGGAAUCUGCCUUUUCUGGCAUCAAUCACCACACUUCAUUCACAGCCUAACUGCACCGGAGAAGAAGAUACCAAUCACUUGAUAACAUUCAGAUUUAGAGAUACUGAAGAUUACCUUCCUAACCCACCAAAUUCCUUGCUGGAAGACAGGCUACGUAGGGGCCGCAAAGGUACUACAGUAGAAAAAGGAACUCACCAGACAGAAAACGCUGGGAAGGUGUGAGAGGAUAAAUAAAAAGGAAAACAG